ACUCCAGACUCCUACGGGAGGCAGCAGUCGGGAAUAUUGCGCAAUGGAGGCAACUCUGACGCAGUGACGCCGCGUAUAGGAAGAAGGUUUUCGGAUUGUAAACUAUUGUCCCCAGGGAAGAAAAAAGACUGUACCUGAGAAGAAAGCUCCGGCUAACUACGUGCCAGCAGCCGCGGUAAUACGUAGGGGGCAAGCGUUAUCCGGAUUUACUGGGUGUAAAGGGAGCGUAGACGGUGAUGCAAGUCAGAAGUGAAAGCCCGGGGCUCAACUCCGGGACUGCUUUUGAAACUGUGUAACUGGAGUGCAGGAGAGGUAAGCGGAAUUCCUGGUGUAGCGGUGAAAUGCGUAGAUAUCAGGAGGAACACCAGUGGCGAAGGCGGCUUACUGGACUGUAACUGACGUUGAGGCUCGAAAGCGUGGGGAGCAAACAGGAUUAGAUACCCGAGUAUC
RNAcentral lists this ribosomal RNA (450 nucleotides) under uncultured bacterium. RNAcentral's name for it is "bacterial SSU rRNA". It matches the Rfam family "Bacterial small subunit ribosomal RNA", at positions 328 to 794 of the family's 1533-position model. The record is from RNAcentral.